AGAGUGAACGCUGGCGGUAGGCCUAACACAUGCAAGUCGAACGGCAGCACAGUGGUAGCAAUACCAUGGGUGGCGAGUGGCGGACGGGUGAGGAAUACAUCGGAAUCUACCUUUUCGUGGGGGAUAACGUAGGGAAACUUACGCUAAUACCGCAUACGCCCUUCGGGGGAAAGCCGGGGAUCGCAAGACCUGGCGCGGAUAGAUGAGCCGAUGUCGGAUUAGCUAGUUGGUGAGGUAAUGGCUCACCAAGGCGACGAUCCGUAGCUGGUCUGAGAGGAUGAUCAGCCACACUGGAACUGAGACACGGUCCAGACUCCUACGGGAGCAGCAGGUGGGGAAUAGUUGGAACAA
Molecule: ribosomal RNA, 351 nt
Filed under: uncultured soil bacterium
Lineage: Bacteria
Description: bacterial SSU rRNA
Rfam family: Bacterial small subunit ribosomal RNA
Source: RNAcentral